Molecule: transfer-messenger RNA, 363 nt
Filed under: Salmonella enterica subsp. enterica serovar Kentucky
Lineage: Bacteria; Pseudomonadati; Pseudomonadota; Gammaproteobacteria; Enterobacterales; Enterobacteriaceae
Rfam family: transfer-messenger RNA
About the family: Bacterial tmRNA, also known as 10Sa RNA or SsrA, is named for its dual tRNA and mRNA-like properties.
Source: RNAcentral
GGGGCUGAUUCUGGAUUCGACGGGAUUUGCGAAACCCAAGGUGCAUGCCGAGGGGCGGUUGGCCUCGUAAAAAGCCGCAAAAAAAUAGUCGCAAACGACGAAAACUACGCUUUAGCAGCUUAAUAACCUGCUUAGAGCCCUCUCUCCCUAGCCUCCGCUCUUAGGACGGGGAUCAAGAGAGGUCAAACCCAAAAGAGAUCGCGCAGAUGCCCUGCCUGGGGUUGAAGCGUUAAAACGAAUCAGGCUAGUCUGGUAGUGGCGUGUCCGUCCGCAGGUGCCAGGCGAAUGUAAAGACUGACUAAGCAUGUAGUACCGAGGAUGUAGGAAUUUCGGACGCGGGUUCAACUCCCGCCAGCUCCACCA